Molecule: ribosomal RNA, 438 nt
Filed under: uncultured soil bacterium
Lineage: Bacteria
Description: bacterial SSU rRNA
Rfam family: Bacterial small subunit ribosomal RNA
Source: RNAcentral
AGGACGAACGCUGGCGGUGUGCUUCACACAUGCAAGUCGAACGGGGUAGCAAUACCCAGUGGCGGACGGGUGAGUAACACGUAGGAAUCUGCCUUGGAGUGGGGGGAUAACUGACCGAAAGGUUAGCUAAUACCGCAUACGUCGCAAGAUAAAAGGAGCAAUUCGCUCCAAGAUGAGCCUGCGUCCGAUUAGCUAGUUGGUAGGUAAAGCCUACCAAGGCUACGAUCGGUAGCUGGUCUGAGAGGAUGAUCAGCCACAAUGGAACUGAGACACGGUCCAUACUCCUACGGGAGGCAGCAGUGGGGAAUUUACGCAAUGGCGAAAGCCUGACGUAGCGACACCGCGUGAACGAAGAAGCCGUUUGGGGUGUAAAGUUCUGUCAGCGAGGGAACGAAAAAAGUAGACGGUACCUGACAGGAGGUAAGACAUCGGACUAAC